CCUACGGGUGGCAGCAGUGAGGAAUAUUGGGCAAUGGACGAGAGUCUGAACCAGCCAAGUAGCGUGAAGGAUGACUGCCCUCGGGGUUGUAAACUUCGUUUAUAUGGGAGUAAAAUGUUCCACGUGUGGGGUUUUGUCUGUACCAUAUGAAUAAGGGUCGGCGAAGUCCGUGCCCGCAGCCGCGGUAAUGCGGAGGAUCCGAGCGUUAUCCGGAUUUAUUGUGUUUAAAGGGAGCGUAGGUGGAUUGGUAAGUCAGUUGUGAAAGUUUGCGGCUCAACCGUAAAAUUGCAGUUGAAACUGGCAGUCUUGAGUACAGUAGAGGUGGGCGGAAUUCGUGGUGUAGCGGUGAAAUGCUUAGAUAUCACGAAGAACUCCGAUUGCGAAGGCAGUUCACUGGACUGCAACUGACACUGAGGCUCGAAAGUGUGGGUAGCAAACAGGAUUAGAUACCCUAGUAGUC
RNAcentral lists this ribosomal RNA (460 nucleotides) under uncultured bacterium. Its description in RNAcentral is "partial 16S ribosomal RNA". It matches the Rfam family "Bacterial small subunit ribosomal RNA", at positions 338 to 795 of the family's 1533-position model. The record is from RNAcentral.